AUUGAACGCUGGCGGCAGGCCUAACACAUGCAAGUCGAACGAGUGGCGGACGGGUGAGUAAUGUGUGGGAAACUGCCUGAUGGAGGGGUAUCACUACUGGAAACGGUAGCUAAUCCCGCAUACCAUCAGAUGCCCCUAGAGGGGAUUAGAUUGUUGGUGGGGUAACGGCUCACCAAGGCGAAGAUCCCUAGCUGGUCUGAGAGGAUGAUCAGCAAAACGGGGACUGAGACACGGCCCAGACUCCUACGGGAGGCAGCAGUGGGGAAUAUUGCACAAUGGGCGCAAGCCUGAUGCAGCCAUGCCGCGUGUAUGAAGAAGGCCUUCGGGUUGUAAAGUACUUUCAGCGGGGAGGCGUUACCGGCAGAAGAAGCACCGGCUAACUCCGUGCCAGCAGCCGCGGUAAUUC
Molecule: ribosomal RNA, 406 nt
Filed under: uncultured bacterium
Lineage: Bacteria
Description: partial 16S ribosomal RNA
Rfam family: Bacterial small subunit ribosomal RNA
Source: RNAcentral